This 820-nucleotide long non-coding RNA is filed under the name Sus scrofa (pig). RNAcentral describes it as "lncRNA (multiple genes)". Lineage: Eukaryota; Metazoa; Chordata; Mammalia; Artiodactyla; Suidae. The record is from RNAcentral.
UAUCUUACAUUCAUCAUGACAUUCAUCAUGAGCAGAUCAUAAUUCUGGACCCUUUGAUCCCCAAAGCCUCCCUUGAGGCCCUGUUGGAGAACUUCACCAAUCAUUUAUAUACUUCAAGAUGCCUUGGGAUAACUGGACAAAACAAAAAAACAACCUGUUUGAGAAGAUAAAACAGUUGUAUCUUUUUAUGCUGUGCCUGCUAAUUGAAAGAAGCCUCAUAACUAUGAAUGUGAACCUGACUAGGAAUGGAACAAAGUUAUCUAUCAUCAUGCUGGAUCUAAAGAAUCAGCACCCUGCAUACUCUAGCUCCUGAUUGUUCCCUUCAUAUUUGCCAAAUCGUUAUCUUUCUAAGAAGCAGUGUAGAGAGCAAGAAAUUUGAACACACCAAAGGAAGAUCAACAUGCCUGGCGGUCUGGCAUUUUAAAACAGAAUGAAUGUGUAUUUGUUUGCUUGUCUCUUUCUUCCUUGCGCAUCUUUGGUCUUUUUCUCUAAAUUGUGUCUUACCCAUUUCCAUGAUUCUUUUGCUAGUUUCUUCUCAGUAUAUCUUUGUCUCCUUUUUUGUACCUGAGUGUGCGGUCUGUGUCUCGUCUUAGAUGUCUCUCUCUAGUUUCUUUUUUUCAUUUUGUUAUUGAUUCUCCUUGGUCUUCUAGAUCUGGCUCUUCUUUCACUGUUGUUCACUUUGUGUCUCUUGAGUCACAUACUGUGUGCUCUUUGCUCAUUUCUUGUUAUGCCUACCUUUCUUCUUUUUCUCUUUGUGAAUUCUGAUUGUCUGUUAUCCAUUCCCCUUCUUGUUCGUUUGACAUUUCACCUAGUCUAAUAC